GACAGAGGGUGCAAACGUUGCUCGGAAUCACUGGGCGUAAAGCGCGUGUAGGCGGCACGGCAAGUCGGAUGUGAAAGCCCGCGGCUCAACCGUGGAAGUGCACUCGAAACUGCCGAGCUAGAGUCUCGGAGAGGAAGGUGGAAUGCUUGGUGUAGAGGUGAAAUUCGUAGAUAUCAAGCAGAACACCUGUGGCGAAGGCGGCCUUCUGGACGAUGACUGACGCUGAGACGCGAAAGCGUGGGGAGCAAACAGG
This 253-nucleotide ribosomal RNA is filed under the name uncultured bacterium. RNAcentral describes it as "partial 16S ribosomal RNA". It matches the Rfam family "Bacterial small subunit ribosomal RNA", at positions 524 to 776 of the family's 1533-position model. The record is from RNAcentral.